Trifolium pratense (red clover) is the source of this 375-nucleotide long non-coding RNA. RefSeq lists it as uncharacterized. The record is from RefSeq and is a predicted model, not a curated record. Lineage: Eukaryota; Viridiplantae; Streptophyta; Magnoliopsida; Fabales; Fabaceae. The transcript has 4 exons.
CAGUAGUAAAGUGAAAGGCUUCUUGUUUAUUCUACAACAUCUAUCUGGCAUGGCUGGUAGUUGCUAGUUCUUUGUAUCAGGGAUAAUAUAGUCAAAUGGGCAGGAAAAAGAACUGGAUGCUUGCAAUAAGAAAAGCAAUCAGCGAGAACUGGAUUUAAGGAGGACAAGAAUUUCCAAGUUUUUUAAAUUCUGUAAUAGCCGACUGUUAUCAUGUCACCGAGUAUCUGGGAUUUGCUGCAUUUAAUAAAGCUAUGCAAGCUCAUGAUCUGCACACAGGUGUUGAUGUUUGUAUUAAAAUUAUAAAGAACAACAAGGAUUUCUUUGAUCAAAGCCUUGAUGAGAUCAAACUUCUCAAGUAUGUCAAUAAGCAUAUUC